CUUCCGUUGUUUUUCUUCUCUCAUUCUCUCUCUCUCUCGCUCGCUCUACCACCCUCGCUCUCUUUCCACUGCACUCGCUCCUUGUAUCAGGUGAUCGGGUUAAUUGGGAACCCACCUGCACAUUGAUUGCAGGGUGGCGCUAGCCUGUAUAAAGCUAAGCCGAUGUCUUGUUGGAUUAAUUCCUCCCGAGCUUCUGGUACGAUACAGCAGUAAAUGCUGGCGUACUGCGACGGACUGAUCAGCAAGAGCCGAUUAUACGACAGCUACAGGUAUGCUCUCGCUUAACCUUGGAUUCCCUCCGAAUACUGGAAUUGGUGUUAAUAUCCUUUUCCGGCCUGUUGUAGCGCAGCAGUCUGUGUAAUUCUGCCAUUGCGGAGAGAGGUGUUCGUGGUAUCUCCACCAAUGAGAGUAUAGUGCCUCCGGUCCUGGGGGUUCACUGCUGUACUCACCUCUCCAUGUGAAGGAGGACGAGCCAGUGGCCCUGGGACCUCAGGUGGUGGGUCGUUUUCACACUUUCUUUUGUACAGCACUGGGUGGUCUGCAGUGAUUCUUUUGGUGUGAUUUUCUUUUGGUUCCACGGCUGCUGGUAAGUCCAAGUCCCACGAUUGUUUAUUUUUACUGUAGGACACUGUCAAUAAUGACGCUACAUCUUGACUUUUAAUAUUUUAUUUAUAAAAUAUUAUUUAUAAUAUUUUAUUUAUUUCUAUAAAUAAAACUGUUUUAAUAUUGGAAGCCAACCUGCCUCAGUGUGCAUCCUUGAAUCUGUGCGGUCUUCUUUUAUUCCUUUUAUUUAUUUUUCUUAAAUAUAUUUCCUGGGGGUGUAAUUCCCCUAGGUGGCGUUGUCAAGUUUAUUUAUUUUGUUCAUAACCCCGCCGAC
Molecule: long non-coding RNA, 877 nt
Organism: Maylandia zebra (zebra mbuna)
Lineage: Eukaryota; Metazoa; Chordata; Actinopteri; Cichliformes; Cichlidae
Source: RefSeq, a predicted model, not a curated record